This is a non-coding RNA of Tupaia belangeri chinensis (Chinese tree shrew), 483 nucleotides long. NCBI's taxonomy places the organism in Eukaryota, Metazoa, Chordata, Mammalia, Scandentia, Tupaiidae. The record is from the annotation of a RefSeq genome assembly.
GGGGAGUUCACCCCUAGAGGAGAUGUGUUUAGCCUAUGACAGGCUUCAGCCAACAUCAUGGGCUUUCACGCUUACAUUUUCAGCUUCCUGCUGCUCAGUGUCACAGCAUCUAGUGGAGAAAUUGUGUUGACCCAGUCUCCAGCUUCCAUGGCUGUUUCCCAGAGAGAGACAGUCACCAUCACCUGCAGAGCCAGUGAGAGUGUAAACAACAACUACCUGCACUGGUACCAGCAGAAGCCAGGAGUCCCUCCAAAGCUCCUCAUCUAUGGCACAUCAAAUCUAGCCUCUGGAGUCCCAGCCCGCUUCAGUGGCAGUGGGUCUGGGGCCUCUUUCUCUCUCACCAUCAGCAGAGUGGAAACUGAAGACUUUGCUAACUACUACUGCCAACAGUGGAGCAGCAAUCCAUUCACACUGUGUAACAAACCAGAACAAAAACCUCCUCUUCCUCCUCAGGGCCACCUGCUUCUCCCUCAGAGGCUGUGA